AAAUAGCUAGUCCAACAGAAGACUACUAACUUCGACUUAGUCAAUCGUGAUUUAACUUCACGGCUAUUAA
This 70-nucleotide transfer RNA is filed under the name Indotestudo elongata (Elongated tortoise). RNAcentral's name for it is "tRNA-Arg". The record is from RNAcentral. Lineage: Eukaryota; Metazoa; Chordata; Testudines; Testudinidae.